Molecule: ribosomal RNA, 268 nt
Filed under: Armillaria cepistipes
Lineage: Eukaryota; Fungi; Basidiomycota; Agaricomycetes; Agaricales; Physalacriaceae
Also listed under: 1 other name
Description: partial 26S ribosomal RNA
Rfam family: Eukaryotic large subunit ribosomal RNA
Source: RNAcentral
UCUAAGUCAGAAUCCGUGCUAGAAACGAUGAUGUUGGUGUCGCACAUUAGACUUGUGUUUAAAUAGAGCUUUGCUCGUGAACCAAAUAUGGUGGGCUGGGUUGUCUUUGCGGAAACGCUUGGGCGACUUGUCUACGAAUUGUAAUCAUAAUAUGGGCGGCGGUGAAUCCUUUGCAGACGACUUGAAUGGGAACGGGGUACUGUAAGUGGUAGAGUAGCCUUGUUGCUACGAUCCACUGAGGUUAAGCCCUUGUUCUAAAGAUUUGUUC